Molecule: ribosomal RNA, 441 nt
Filed under: Arvelius porrectispinus
Lineage: Eukaryota; Metazoa; Arthropoda; Insecta; Hemiptera; Pentatomidae
Description: partial large subunit ribosomal RNA
Source: RNAcentral
CAUGUCUUGAUGUUUAUAAUUAUAUUAAGUUUAUCCUGCUCAAUGAUAUAUAGUAUUAAAUAGCCGCAGUAUCUUGACUGUGCGAAGGUAGCAUAAUCAUUUGUCUUUUAAUUGAAGGCUUGUAUGAAUGGUUUGAUGAGGGAAUAACUUUCUUUAUAUUAUAUAAUUGAAUUUAAUAUUUAGGUUAAAAAGCUUAAAUUUAUAAAUGGGACGAGAAGACCCUAUAGAAUUUUAUAUUAUAUUUAAUAAAAAAAUUUAUGGUAGUUAUAUUUAUUUAUUAAAUAUAAUAUUUUGUUGGGGUGACAAUAAGAUUUAUUUAACUCUUAUAAUUAAUGGAUUACUUAUAAGUAUAAUUAAGAUCCUUUAUUAUGGAUAUUUAGAUUAAAUUACCUUAGGGAUAACAGCGUAAUUUCCUUGGAGAGUUCAUAAUCGAUGAGGGAG